This 409-nucleotide ribosomal RNA is filed under the name uncultured microorganism. Its description in RNAcentral is "bacterial SSU rRNA". It matches the Rfam family "Bacterial small subunit ribosomal RNA", at positions 509 to 917 of the family's 1533-position model. The record is from RNAcentral.
CAGCCGCCGCGGUAAUACGUAGGGUGCGAGCGUUAAUCGGAUUUACUGGGCGUAAAGCGUGCGCAGGCGGCCCGUUAAGACAGGUGUGAAAUCCCUGGGCUCAACCUAGGAAUUGCGCUUGUGACUGGCGGGCUCGAGUACGGUAGAGGGGGUGGAAUUCCUGGUGUAGCAGUGAAAUGCGUAGAGAUCAGGAGGAACACCGAUGGCGAAGGCAGCCCCCUGGGCCUGUACUGACGCUCAUGCACGAAAGCGUGGGGAGCAAACAGGAUUAGAUACCCUGGUAGUCCACGCCCUAAACGAUGGGUACUAGCCGUUUGGUGCGCGAUAGCGCUGAGUGGCGAAGCUAACGCGUGAAGUACCCCGCCUGGGGAGUACGGCCGCAAGGUUGAAACUUAAAGGAAUUGGCGGG